Molecule: long non-coding RNA, 358 nt
Filed under: Bos taurus (domestic cattle)
Lineage: Eukaryota; Metazoa; Chordata; Mammalia; Artiodactyla; Bovidae
Description: long non-coding RNA NONBTAT018556
Source: RNAcentral
AUUUGAGUUCUAUUUGAAAUAUAAGAAAUAUAAAGUUAUGUUAGCUUUGCAAAUAAUUUAUAUUUGAUCAAUACAUGAAAUUUUAUACAUUGUAAGUAGAAAUACAGCAAAUAUUGUUUUUAAACAAUAUCAAAUAUAAUUUUAAUUUCACAUAUUAAUAGAUUUCCAAGUUCAAUCUCAAAAAUACAUCUUAAAAUGUAAUGCCUCCAAUGAAAUAAAGAUGUCAUAUUCAACUUUUGCUUGCCCUUCUAGCAGAUAAUAACCGUGAGUCAUUUCUUGGAACUAGGUUUUCAGGUAACAGGUAGGGACAGGCUGUGCCACUGGUACACUUCACAAUCUUAGAAACAUGUUAUAAUCA